RNAcentral lists this ribosomal RNA (253 nucleotides) under uncultured bacterium. Its description in RNAcentral is "partial 16S ribosomal RNA". It matches the Rfam family "Bacterial small subunit ribosomal RNA", at positions 524 to 776 of the family's 1533-position model. The record is from RNAcentral.
UACGAAGGGGGCUAGCGUUGCUCGGAAUUACUGGGCGUAAAGCGCACGUAGGCGGCUUCUUAAGUCGGUGGUGAAAUCCUGGAGCUCAACUCCAGAACUGCCUUCGAUACUGGGGAGCUCGAGUCCGGGAGAGGUGAGUGGAACUGCGAGUGUAGAGGUGAAAUUCGUAGAUAUUCGCAAGAACACCAGUGGCGAAGGCGGCUCACUGGCCCGAUACUGACGCUGAGGCACGAAAGCGUGGGGAGCAAACAGG